This 595-nucleotide ribosomal RNA is filed under the name Salmonella enterica subsp. enterica serovar Infantis. RNAcentral's name for it is "partial 23S ribosomal RNA". It matches the Rfam family "Bacterial large subunit ribosomal RNA", at positions 2208 to 2802 of the family's 2925-position model. RNAcentral also lists the same sequence under 11 other names. The record is from RNAcentral. Lineage: Bacteria; Pseudomonadati; Pseudomonadota; Gammaproteobacteria; Enterobacterales; Enterobacteriaceae.
UAAUGUUUGAUGUUCUAACGUGGACCCGUAAUCCGGGUUGCGGACAGUGUCUGGUGGGUAGUUUGACUGGGGCGGUCUCCUCCUAAAGAGUAACGGAGGAGCACGAAGGUUGGCUAAUCCUGGUCGGACAUCAGGAGGUUAGUGCAAUGGCAUAAGCCAGCUUGACUGCGAGCGUGACGGCGCGAGCAGGUGCGAAAGCAGGUCAUAGUGAUCCGGUGGUUCUGAAUGGAAGGGCCAUCGCUCAACGGAUAAAAGGUACUCCGGGGAUAACAGGCUGAUACCGCCCAAGAGUUCAUAUCGACGGCGGUGUUUGGCACCUCGAUGUCGGCUCAUCACAUCCUGGGGCUGAAGUAGGUCCCAAGGGUAUGGCUGUUCGCCAUUUAAAGUGGUACGCGAGCUGGGUUUAGAACGUCGUGAGACAGUUCGGUCCCUAUCUGCCGUGGGCGCUGGAGAACUGAGGGGGGCUGCUCCUAGUACGAGAGGACCGGAGUGGACGCAUCACUGGUGUUCGGGUUGUCAUGCCAAUGGCACUGCCCGGUAGCUAAAUGCGGAAGAGAUAAGUGCUGAAAGCAUCUAAGCACGAAACUUGCCCCGA